CUGGUGUGAUCAGAGCCUGAGUCUCUCAGACCAUAGACUCGGGUUUAUACCACACCACAGAUCAACAGGAGAGUGGAGAACACUGGACCACUUCAGAGUGGUCUGGACCUGCACUGACUCCUGACAUUA
Molecule: small nucleolar RNA, 129 nt
Organism: Eleginops maclovinus (Patagonian blennie)
Lineage: Eukaryota; Metazoa; Chordata; Actinopteri; Perciformes; Eleginopidae
Product: small nucleolar RNA SNORA11
Exons: 1
Source: RefSeq, a predicted model, not a curated record